AGAGUUUGAUCCUGGCUCAGAUUGAACGCUGGCGGCAGGCCUAACACAUGCAAGUCGAGCGGUUGAAGGAAGCUUGCUUCCUGAUUCAGCGGCGGACGGGUGAGUAAUGCCUAGGAAUCUGCCUGGUAGUGGGGGACAACGUUUCGAAAGGAACGCUAAUACCGCAUACGUCCUACGGGAGAAAGCAGGGGACCUUCGGGCCUUGCGCUAUCAGAUGAGCCUAGGUCGGAUUAGCUAGUUGGUGAGGUAAUGGCUCACCAAGGCGACGAUCCGUAACUGGUCUGAGAGGAUGAUCAGUCACACUGGAACUGAGACACGGUCCAGACUCCUACGGGAGGCAGCAGUGGGGAAUAUUGGACAAUGGGCGAAAGCCUGAUCCAGCCAUGCCGCGUGUGUGAAGAAGGUCUUCGGAUUGUAAAGCACUUUAAGCUGGGAGGAAGAGCAGUCAGCGAAUACCUUGCUGUCUUGACGUUACCGACAGAAUAAGCACCGGCUAACUCUGUGCCAGCAGCCGCGGUAAUACAGAGGGUGCAAGCGUUAAUCGGAAUUACUGGGCGUAAAGCGCGCGUAGGUGGUUUGUUAAGUUGAAUGUGAAAUCCCCGGGCUCAACCUGGGAACUGCAUCCAAAACUGGCAAGCUAGAGUAGGGCAGAGGGUGGUGGAAUUUCCUGUGUAGCGGUGAAAUGCGUAGAUAUAGGAAGGAACACCAGUGGCGAAAGGCGACCACCUGGCUCAUACUGACACUGAGGUGCGAAAGCGUGGGGAGCAAACAGGAUUAGAUACCCUGUAGUCCA
RNAcentral lists this ribosomal RNA (793 nucleotides) under Pseudomonas sp. RNAcentral's name for it is "bacterial SSU rRNA". It matches the Rfam family "Bacterial small subunit ribosomal RNA", at positions 8 to 797 of the family's 1533-position model. Lineage: Bacteria; Pseudomonadati; Pseudomonadota; Gammaproteobacteria; Pseudomonadales; Pseudomonadaceae. The record is from RNAcentral.